UCCUACGGGGGGCAGCAGUGGGGAAUAUUGCACAAUGGGCGAAAGCCUGAUGCAGCAACGCCGCGUGAGUGAUGACGGUCUUCGGAUUGUAAAGCUCUGUCUUCUGGGACGAUAAUGACGGUACCAGAGGAGGAAGCCACGGCUAACUACGUGCCAGCAGCCGCGGUAAUACGUAGGUGGCAAGCGUUGUCCGGAUUUACUGGGCGUAAAGGAUGCGUAGGUGGAUAUUUAAGUGAGAUGUGAAAUACCCGGGCUUAACUUGGGUGCUGCAUUUCAAACUGGAUAUCUAGAGUGCAGGAGAGGAAAGCGGAAUUCCUAGUGUAGCGGUGAAAUGCGUAGAUAUUAGGAAGAACACCAGUGGCGAAGGCGGCUUUCUGGACUGUAACUGACACUGAGGCAUGAAAGCGUGGGGAGCAAACAGGCUUAGAUACCCCGGUAGU
RNAcentral lists this ribosomal RNA (440 nucleotides) under uncultured bacterium. Its description in RNAcentral is "bacterial SSU rRNA". It matches the Rfam family "Bacterial small subunit ribosomal RNA", at positions 337 to 794 of the family's 1533-position model. The record is from RNAcentral.